CCUACGGGUGGCAGCAGUGGGGAAUAUUGCACAAUGGGGGAAACCCUGAUGCAGCAACGCCGCGUGAGUGAUGACGGCCUUCGGGUUGUAAAGCUCUGUCUUCAGGGACGAGAAUGACGGUACCUGAGGAGGAAGCCACGGCUAACGACGUGCCAGCAGCCGCGGUAAUACGGAGGUGGCGAGCGUUGGCCGGAUUGACGGGUCGUAAAGGGAGCGGAGGCGGACUUUUAAGUGAGCUGUGAAAUACUCGGGCUCAACUUGAGGGCUGCAUUUCAAACUGUAAGUCUCGAGUGCAGGAGAGUGGACUUGCCUUCCUAGUGUAGCGGUGCACUGCGUCGUGAUUAGG
This 346-nucleotide ribosomal RNA is filed under the name uncultured bacterium. RNAcentral's name for it is "partial 16S ribosomal RNA". It matches the Rfam family "Bacterial small subunit ribosomal RNA", at positions 338 to 701 of the family's 1533-position model. The record is from RNAcentral.